CCUACGGGUGGCAGCAGUGAGGAAUAUUGGUCAAUGGGCGGAAGCCUGAACCAGCCAAGUCGCGUGCGGGAUGACGGCCCUACGGAUUGUAAACUUCUUUUGUACGGGAAUAACGCGCCUUACGUGUAGCGCUUUGCGUGUACCCUAUGAAUAAGCAUCGGCUAAAUCCGUGCCAGCAGCCGCGGUAAUACGGAGGGUCCGAGCGUUAUCCGGAUUUAUUGGGUUUAAAGGGUGCGGAGGCGGGACGUCAAGCGUGCUGUGAAAUGUGCGGGCUCAACCCUGUCCGUGCAGCGGGAACUGGUGUGCUUGAGUGCGCGGAAAGCAGGCGGAAUGCGUGGUGUAGCGGUGAAAUGCAUAGAUAUGACGAAGAACCCCGAUUGCGAAGGCAGCAUGCUGGCGCGGAACUGACGCUGAUGCUCGAAAGUGUGGGUAUCGAACAGGAUUAGAUACCCUGGUAGUC
RNAcentral lists this ribosomal RNA (460 nucleotides) under uncultured bacterium. Its description in RNAcentral is "partial 16S ribosomal RNA". It matches the Rfam family "Bacterial small subunit ribosomal RNA", at positions 338 to 795 of the family's 1533-position model. The record is from RNAcentral.